RNAcentral lists this ribosomal RNA (229 nucleotides) under uncultured bacterium. RNAcentral's name for it is "partial 16S ribosomal RNA". It matches the Rfam family "Bacterial small subunit ribosomal RNA", at positions 524 to 752 of the family's 1533-position model. The record is from RNAcentral.
UACGUAGGUGGCAAGCGUUGUCCGGAUUUACUGGGCGUAAAGGGCGCGUAGGCGGUUCUUUAAGUGGUAUGUGAAAUACUCGGGCUCAACCUGGGGGUUGCAUUUCAAACUGGAGAUCUUGAGUACAGGAGGGGAGAGUGGAAUUCCUAGUGUAGCGGUGAAAUGCGUAGAGAUUAGGAAGAACACCAGUGGCGAAGGCGACUCUCUGGACUGUAACUGACGCUGAGGC